This 71-nucleotide transfer RNA is filed under the name Rieppeleon kerstenii. RNAcentral describes it as "tRNA-Ile". Lineage: Eukaryota; Metazoa; Chordata; Lepidosauria; Squamata; Chamaeleonidae. The record is from RNAcentral.
GGAAGUGUGCCCGAAAAACCUAAGGACUACCCUGAUAAGGUAAACACAGAGACGCGCCUCUCUCUCUUCCC